AUUCGGAAGGAAGAAGAGAGGAAGAAGGACAAGUGCACGGAGCGUUAUUUCUCGAUAUCGACGAAGCCCUGUCGACGAAAAGUCGAUUUCUUGUUUCCAUUGCGAAAUGAACGGAGACGAUGCGACGUCUUCGCGGAAAAUCUUAGGUGCGUUGAUAUUCCUAGGCAGACGAUUACAUAUUGAUGUUACACCGAUACGGAACGAAUAAUGGAACGACUAAAAAGCUAAUGGACCAUUGAGAACGCCAUAUCGGAAUAAGAUAUGCUUCCAGAUAAGAGCCAAGUAUUUACCUACCUCUUGCGCGGUAAUGUAAAUAGGUUUGUUAAGGAUCAGCCAAACUGCAGUUUCCCAACAUCCUGGAUGCGUUGUACUGCCUUCGUAGGUCAUGUAACCAUUCGUAUCCGGAAGUAGACUUCUCAAGGACAGAUAGCUCACCUGUGCCGUAUCGCCUAAGUAAAGAAAAAACAAUGUUCACAUCGCUCCAUUAGUAAAACAAUUUUAAUCCUUUUAAAAAUCACGCUAUUCUUUUUUUAAUCGUUCGAAAUAUUAUUCUUUUAAUUUUUUCUUUUUUUUCCUUUCUCAAAAUCCCUAGGUACGAUCUUGUCCAAGGAAAAGUUCUAAGGAUCGGACACAAUCAGGACUCGUAAUCGUUAGCACGUGACAAAUUCGUUCGCCGAUCACGUAGCUCGAUGACUAAUCGAUAUUUUUUGUCUCUCAAGAAUUUUUCCAUCCUUUUCUCUCGACAUCGUCGGAAGCUAUAAAAAUUGGUAAGACGAGAAGAAGAAGGAGGAGGGAAAGGAAAAGGAAGAGAAGGAGGAAAAGGUACAGGAAGAGAUGAUACGCGAAGGAGGAGGGAUCUAGUCAGCGUUGUGGGACCCUUCUUCUCCUUACGGGUCCAGCUGAUAAACAAUCUCUUAGAGAACGUCAAAUCCGUGAAUCGGUUUUGCUUGAAGUAACGGAAUUCCCAAUGGACCGAUUUAUCUUCUAGGAAAAGAGCCGUUCGUGUGGCUCGAAGGACGAUCCUUACCUACUCUUUUUCGUCCUUCCUUGCGACUUUACUUUCAUGGGGUAUUCCGUGUCAGCGAACGUUCCGGAUUAUCACUGAUUUCUUCUCGAUUAUACGAGAAAAACCAAACAAUCUCAGAGUCGGUCGGAUCGUGUGAGAUCGAAAGGAUCGUCGAUGAACCAUUUGUGAGAUAUUACGAAGAUAUUACGUAGCAGGAUGAUUUACGAGCCGAAUUUACGAACGAUAAAGAAACAACGAUCUUCUUAAUCCAGGAGCACUUAAUUACAGCGAAGGUGUGAGCGAGGUAGCACAACUAAUAAGCAACAUGCCAGCCACGUCGUGACACCGAUCGUCGUAACAUGCCCGUGACGGCACGCGACGAACUAUAGUAGCACCUGCUCGACUCAAGAAAGAAGAAACGCGAUAAAACUUUCCGACUUUCGAGUUACCAUUUCCUUCAUUACGAUACAAAUGCACGAGAUAGAGAGAGAGAGAGAG
This is a long non-coding RNA of Vespula pensylvanica (western yellowjacket), 1504 nucleotides long. RefSeq lists it as uncharacterized. The transcript has 6 exons. The record is from RefSeq and is a predicted model, not a curated record. Lineage: Eukaryota; Metazoa; Arthropoda; Insecta; Hymenoptera; Vespidae.